AUGCAGGCGAGGCAUGGGGCGCUCAGGCGGCUUUUAGCCAAUUUUAUAGUGAGCCUCGGGAGCAAAAAGGAGAACAGAAACGCCUCAAAAAUCUGCAGCUGGGCCAAGAAAGGAGCGGCCGGAAGGUGCGCCAGGGCGCUGAGAGCGGCACGGGUGAACGAGGCAGAGUGCUCUCACUGCGAGGUCAGAGACGCGCGUGUCCGCCCACGCAGCCAGCGAGGCCCCCAGCUCGGGCGCAGCAGGACGGCCACGGGGCGCUGGCUUUGCAGCAGGCGGGACGCGAGGUUACGGGGCCUGGUGGCUCCCUCUGAGAACUCGCGGGGUCCCUGCAGCGGCCCCCAGCUGGGCCACCACCUGCAGAGCUACAGGGUGGCGGGUCACCGGAGCCCUCAGCCCACGUGGCCCCCCGCAGGCCCACGGGCUGGGCACGGAGCGGACGGCUCCAGCGUCUGCCCUGCCGGGCCUUGGCCUUGUGCGGGGGACCCCUCCUUGGUGUGCUCUUACUCCUGCGCGCGCCCGCCUGCGCAGCCCGGAAGGCUGGGUCUGCGUUCCCAGCGCUCACGCUCAGCCGGCGGAGUCUCACCUGACUCUCCGCCUUCGCGCAACCCUAGGCACGGGGGGGCCGGGGAGAGUGUGUUUCCACUGCGAGCUGCGCACAAGCCUUUGGGGACAAAGUGCCGUGAGCGUCCCCACAGGUGCCUGCGCCACACACUUGGUCCCCAGGGUGGGAGGCGGGGCCCCAGGCCAAGCCCCUCUGUCUCUCUGGGGUCUCCAGAGGUGACCCUCGGGAGGAGGUGGCAUCUCGCUCCUUCCUGUGGCCCCAGGAACCCCAGGCAAAGCAGCUCAGCAGCCCUGGGACCCGCGGUCUCUCCCAGGCUCCUUCUGCGAGAAAGAACACAAGGCCCAGGAGCACAGGUCAGCUGGGUCCUACUUGCAAGUCUGGGGACUCUGCUCAGCAGGCCUGAGCCUCAACCGUCUGAAGAUCUCAGGACCCCUCACACAUCCCUGCCAUUCCCGUACCGUGUGGGGGAAACCACAGCAAAAAGCAGAACAAAACAUGGCAUGCAAUUCACUAUAUGACACCAGUACUAAAAGACAGUCAUCAGUGCUUCAUUUUCAGCUCAAACUGUUUCUUGCCAGGUGUAGUGGCACACGCCUCUAACCACAGCACUUGGGAGGCUGAGGCGGGAGGAUCAGCUUGAGUUCAAAGCCAGCCUGAACUACAUAGUAAAACCCUGUCUCAGAAAAACCAAACAACAGAAACAACAACGAGAAAAACUAAAAAACUGUUUCUUAACAGAAAUGCAAUAGAUUGAUACUUUUUUAGAAUAGCAUAAAACAAUUGUAAUGUGAAACAGUGCUGACUGGGACUGUCUUAUUAAGAUAGAACACCACUUCAGUUAGUUAUCUGAAGACUACCUGACAUCCCUGACUAUCCAGAAUAAAAUUAAGAGGAAAUGUUUUUUCAAAAAGAUUUGUGUGCCAGGCAUGGUGGUGCACACCUGUAAUCCCAGCACUCAGGAGGCUGAGGCAGGAGGAUCACUGUGAGUCUAAGGCCAGACUGGGCUACAUAGUGAACUUGAGGCCAGUUUGAGCUACACACAAGGAGACCUUAUCUCAAAGGAAAAAAAAAAAAGACAUGGGCUGGAGGUGUACCUAGGGGAGGUUAGGUAGAGGGUGGCAGAAACACAGAAGAAUCUUUGUUAAUAAUCUGCUCCUGGCUGAUGUGCUCUUCUUUGUACCUACUUCUAACAAGACUGGAUGCUUAGGUUUUUCCCACCCAAAGGCACCAGAAACUGGGUGAAAUGCCACCACCACAUGGCCAACAAGUAAAAAAAAAAAAAAGAACCAUCAUCAAAUAUUGAGGAAAGAGGUCCAAAAACAUAAAAAGCAAGAGUAGCCUCUAGAAGAACCUUAGCAACAGAAGUGCGUGAGGCAGAAGCUGCAGGAGCUGGAAAGAAAUGGGUGGGCGGCGAGUUAUCUUACACCCAAGACCUCUUGUGGUAAGGAAAAAGCAGGUGGACUUUGGUCAGUGUUUUUUCAUAGAAGUAGGGAAGAGUUUAACAUGAUAAAGAAUGAGGCUUCUGCAAAACGUUACACUUUCAAAGGUGUUAGUGUUUAUUUAAAAAGAGGGAGGACUUACUCUGUCAUCCUGCAAGCCAGGCAGGGUGUUGGGAAAUGGAAAAGUGUUAAACUAGCCGACAGUGACAAAACCGUGGUAAGAAUGUAAGAGAGUGGAGGAGGGCCAAGGGGUCUGGGAUUUCACCCGUGGACUUGCGGACCAGCGGCUUCCAGGAAGGCUUCCCAGAGGAGGAAAUGCUGUCCUGAUUGAGGAGAGGAGAUGCACCAGGUGCAGAGGAUGAGGGGAGAAGACGCUGUGUGGGCCCAGGCAGCCGCCCAGCGUGCAAAAACUCAGGAAGCCCCAGCAAGCUUUCGCAGGAAUGGGAGCCAAAUGGCCAUGAGGUUAAAAAGGCUAAGAGAAUUUCCCAGGCACGGGCUCCUUCGGUGCACAAAGUGUGUGUGAUCCCUUCUUUCCCGCAGCGGGUCAGGUCAGCAAAAAGCCUGCACAACAACCCACAGCCGCUCCCAGGGCCGUUUCCCUGUCCCGAAAGGGUUUGUGGCCUGGGGAGGUCGGUUGGUCAGCACUGGGUUUGCGACACUCGUCACACGCAGGUGUGGAGUCUCCCUGGCAGGAAAGCGGCUUGGACAGGGGAUACCAGGGAGGGGACCAGGCAGCCACUGAUCAUCAUCCUUCAGUCUUCAGGAGCAGGAGGAGCCGCGGGAGCUGGGAGCUGCCAGUCCUGCCAAGGCCCCAGGCCAGCCUGGCCCAGCUGUACUUGGUGGCACAUUCUGACCCUGAGGCACCAGAGUUCCCCUGUGCUGGGCAUGGGAGCCUGGGGCUCUUCUGCGGGUGACAGCAGAUUCCUCUCUGUGGCAGGCCGGGAAGUGUGUAUGUGUGGGAGCCGCUGGGCCUCUGGGGGCAGCAGGGAGACGCCACCGUGGGUGGCAGCCUGGAGGGGAGCCAGGGGCACAGGUGACUUCGUUCUCAGCCCCUGGCACCUGCCUGCAUCGCACCGGUUCCUUGCCUUCUACCUGCGACCCCAGGGCCUCCACUCCGCCUCCCUUCACCUGUCCUGGAGCUCCGACUCUGCCACGGCGACCAGUUCCACACACACGCACACGCAUGCACACGACCCCACACCGUGCACCCCAAGGCAAUUCCACCUUCUCGGCCUGCCCCGCCCCAGCCUUCUCUCACCCACGCCCUGCCCCCGUGUGCCCCUCGGCUCUCUCCGCCUCCGGCAGCUCGCUGCACCCGGGGCUUCCGAGGCAGGGAAGCGUGGUGCUGGGGACCUCCUGGCUCUGGGUCUCAGUUUACCUCACUGCACAACCAGGAAGGUCGCGACCUAAAGGGGGAUCCCCCGUGGGGGCCUCCGCAGCCCACCCUGGUGCCCGCGCCCGCCAGCCCGCGCAGCUCACCUGGUCGCCCGCACCGCGUGGCUUGCAGGGCCCUGCAGGCGGCCGCCUGGAC
Long non-coding RNA from Chinchilla lanigera (long-tailed chinchilla), 3532 nucleotides. NCBI's taxonomy places the organism in Eukaryota, Metazoa, Chordata, Mammalia, Rodentia, Chinchillidae. The record is from Ensembl.